UUUAGGGACCACCCUGCCACCCUGACUACACUGAUCUCUUCUGGUUUUGAAAGUUAAGCAGGGAUGGCCUUGGUCAGUACUUGGAUGAGAGACCAUCAGAGAAUACCAGGAAUUGCCAGAU
This 121-nucleotide ribosomal RNA is filed under the name Pogona vitticeps (central bearded dragon). Lineage: Eukaryota; Metazoa; Chordata; Lepidosauria; Squamata; Agamidae. The record is from RNAcentral.